UCAGUAACAACCCACCCCUAUCACAUGUUCCACUAAUUACCAUAUAUAAAGCAAGACAAGUCUCAUAAAGAAAGGGAUUGAGAUUGACAUAUCAUUUAGAACUCCUCUUCUGGUACUGCGCCUUGACCCACCCGAUCCCGAAGCUGGUCCCAGUCUUCACCUUCUUCGCCCCCACCGUCGCCGCAGCCUUCGCCUUGUCCAGACCUGCCGAGGCCACCGCCUUCGCCUUAUCCAUCUUCUUCCCCUUGUCCUUCCCGUCGUCCUUGUGGUCUUCAUGAUCAUCGCCGCCGCCGCCGCCCCACUGAUCCGCCCAGCUCGGCGCCUUGUUCAAGGAUCCCAUAGCACCUCGAUUUGGGGAGAUCCUGAUUACCG
This 372-nucleotide unclassified non-coding RNA is filed under the name Hevea brasiliensis (rubber tree). The record is from RNAcentral. Lineage: Eukaryota; Viridiplantae; Streptophyta; Magnoliopsida; Malpighiales; Euphorbiaceae.